CAGCCGCCGCGGGAAUACAGAGGGUGCGAGCGUUAUUCGGAUUUACUGGGCGUAAAGCGUGCGUAGGCGGCUUCUUAAGUCGGAUGUGAAAUCCCUGAGCUUAACUCUGGAAUUGCAUUCGAUACUGGGAAGCUAGAGUAUGGAAGAGGAUGGUAGAAUUCCAGGUGUAGAGGUGAAAUGCGUAGAGAUCUGGAGGAAUACCGAUGGCGAAGGCAGCCAUCUGGCCUAAUACUGACGCUGAGGUACGAAAGCAUGGGGAGCAAACAGGAUUAGAUACCCGUGUAGUCCCUGUCUCUUAUAC
Molecule: ribosomal RNA, 301 nt
Filed under: uncultured bacterium
Lineage: Bacteria
Description: partial 16S ribosomal RNA
Rfam family: Bacterial small subunit ribosomal RNA
Source: RNAcentral